UCCACUUGCAAUUUAAUAAACUGCAGUUCAAAAUCCCUUUUCCACCUGCAAUUUAAUAAACUGCAGUUCAAAAUCCAUUUCCCUUUCCUGUUCGCUCCGGGAUUAGCUGCUGGAUUAGCUGCUGGAUUAGCUCCUGGAUUAGCUGCUGGAUUAGCUCUUCGAUUAACAACUUGCUGGAGGCUAUUCAAAUUAGCCACACCGUGGGAUGUAAGGAGCUCUCUGAUUGGUUGGUCAGACACAGGCUGUCUGCCAGCCUGGAUUUUUCUAGCUCAUAGCUUCUCCCUGCUAAGAAGCGUGUGUGCUUGUACAAAGGCCGUUCAGCCUCGGGAUUUACACUCGGCUCGACACGGAUAUGUGAAGAAUGAAGGGACCCUGCAGCGAAACGGAGAGCCAACCUCUGACUGAGUACUUGUUUACGCAGUCUGACCACCUGUUGAAGGGCUAUUUGAUGACGAUAUGAACUCCUCUGGGAGAUGAGGACACACCCACAUCUGUUCCAUACUGCAGCCAUUGAUGGUGUUACAGCUCUGAGGCAGCUUUGGGCCAUCAGACGCACACACUGGAAAACCAGCACCUGGACUUCAUGCAGGAGAGACGGCCUCAGUGAUUUAGAAUUAAUCAGCAGCUGUGGAGAGAUGCAUUUGAAUAUCUUCUGGUUCCACUUUUCCUAACCUGGAAGCUGAGGAUGGCUGAUUUCUGACAGGGACACACACCUCAGCGCUUAUCAUGGGUGUUACAUCCUCUGUGCCGCGAUUCCAGAGAAAACGAGAGAGCAACGACCACUCAUUAAGACCAGCCAGAAAUCUGUCCCUUUCUGGCAGCUGUGGAAACUUCCAAUAAGAAAGUUUGCAUUCUUAGAACAAUGCUGGGUCAUGUGUGAUGUGUCAUUAUAUGAGGAUAU
Long non-coding RNA from Pelmatolapia mariae (spotted tilapia), 901 nucleotides. RefSeq lists it as uncharacterized. The transcript is spliced from 3 exons. The record is from RefSeq and is a predicted model, not a curated record. NCBI's taxonomy places the organism in Eukaryota, Metazoa, Chordata, Actinopteri, Cichliformes, Cichlidae.